AUACGGAGGGUCCAAGCGUUAUCCGGAAUCAUUGGGUUUAAAGGGUCCGUAGGCGGGCAAUUAAGUCAGAGGUGAAAUCCCACAGCUCAACUGUGGAACUGCCUUUGAUACUGGUUGUCUUGAAUUAUAGUGAAGUAGAUAGAAUAUGUAGUGUAGCGGUGAAAUGCUCAGAUAUUACAUAGAAUACCGAUUGCGAAGGCAGUCUACUAACUGUAUAUUGACGCUGAUGGACGAAAGCGUGGGGAGCGAACAGGAUUAGAAACCCUUGUAGUCC
This 274-nucleotide ribosomal RNA is filed under the name uncultured bacterium. RNAcentral's name for it is "partial 16S ribosomal RNA". It matches the Rfam family "Bacterial small subunit ribosomal RNA", at positions 523 to 796 of the family's 1533-position model. The record is from RNAcentral.